CCAAAUGCUUUUUGUUUUGUAAUGGAAAGAAGAGGCACACUCCCCACCCACAUAACAAUUGUGUGUUUCACAGCAGUUGCAUGACUCAAGAUUUGACGAGUGCAAUCGCAAAUUGCUCUUUUCCUUUUCUUAUCACUGGAGAGCAGAUCACUGGGUAGAUACGCUGUCGUUAUAAACCCUCAGCUCUGGGAGUGUUGUUAAUCUGCAGAGUCCUUGUGGAUUGCAUUUACUGUAAUGAAACCUUGAAGAGGUUGCAAUUUGUGCAAAAUGAAUCACAGCACCACAUCGGACUGUGAUGUCAACCCUCCGUGGCCUGUAGUUGGUGCUGGACUGCAACCAAAUGUCUGUGAGCCAUGCAAGAGCCAAGCUGAGACUUUCCUUCCACUGUUCAGAGGAAUGAUAUCACCCCACCUUUGGCUGCAUGCAUCACUUUUACUCAAGACUAGCAUCUCACAUGAUUCACAAGAGCAUAAGACAAGCUGGAGUCCGUACAUUGGGUGCUCAUACAUUGGAGCCCCUGGUGGACAAGGACCAGAAGCUUUCAACCUGCAAAUGAACACCUGUUCUGCUUAA
This 573-nucleotide long non-coding RNA is filed under the name Anser brachyrhynchus (Pink-footed goose). Its description in RNAcentral is "lncRNA (ENSABRG00000002663.1)". The record is from RNAcentral. Lineage: Eukaryota; Metazoa; Chordata; Aves; Anseriformes; Anatidae.